CGUGCAGCGCAUGCCAUGUGUUGUGCAUGCGUGUGCACUUGUGCGCCGAGCAAUGGAAUUCCACAGAGCUCGAUGGAAUUCGGGGUUCAACGAUUUGCAAACUGCAAAGCUUAACUUUUUCGCAAAACGGACUGUGAAUAAUUUCUCGCCUGUCACUCUAAUCCUAACGAUAAAAACUUAAGGCCAUUAAGGACUCAGUUUUUCUGGAAUUGAGUCAAUUGACUAUAAGUUUUCUGUUCCGAUUUGUAUCCGAAACCGUUCUCCCAACUUUAUGAUCCUUUCCUUCGAUGCGAGUAUGCAUUAGACGGACUCUUUACUGGCGCCUCAGUAGUGCAUCUUGGUUUUCUUAGUACGGCAGCAGAUGAGAAAAUCCACAGCGGAACCACAUUAAGAACUGCUUGCCUGGCGAAGUCAAAAGUGGGAAAUCAUUCACCAUGCGGAACCCGGUACAAGAUGCAGUGGCGAAGUUUGUGAUGUUUUGCGCAGCCGGAGCUGUAGCAAAACAUGUAUAUGGAUGGGAUGAUCGCACUCUGACAAAUCAUCCACUCUUCAGCCGUGGAAGGGAAUAUAUUCCCGUAAAUAUGGAGAUCGAUCCGGAAACAGGCGAGCUGAAAGACAAACCUGCUGCAGACUGGAUCGCUCUGAAGUCUUUCUUCACUACCUUGUUCUCCAAACCCCAAGGCUGGCUGGGGAAGUACAUCACCGGUGAGAAGAGCAUCUUUGAGCCGCGUGAAGAUCCCAAGCCGCGCUCUAUGGAUCCGACGGGAGGCGGAGUGCAUUUUAGACCCUUCGGACCUUAGACGGUCCACGCAUGAAGCAGAUCUGGAGGGGAAUUUAAAGAACCGUUCUGUGAAAGCUGCACCCCUGACGGUUUGUGUAUGCUGUGUGAGUGUGUCCCUGGCCAUGUUUUCUGGGAGUGUUUACAAGGAACGGAAAAGAUACCUAGUUAUACAUAGUCAUGACUCAUGGUUCUACUUUUACAUAAAGUGCUGUAAUAAUAUCGUUGUUAUGCCUGUUGGAUUUUUAGAGAGUACUGUAUCUGUGAGUCCGUGACUGUUAAUCGGUAACAGAUAUUAUAUCUAUAAUAUCCCUGAUGUGUGCUUGUUUGCUGUGUAAUUAAGUACUUAUGUACAAUUUAAUUACGUACUUAUGUGUACAGUAAUAAAAGGCAGCGCUUGUAUGAAAA
Paramacrobiotus metropolitanus is the source of this 1186-nucleotide long non-coding RNA. RefSeq lists it as uncharacterized. The transcript is spliced from 2 exons. NCBI's taxonomy places the organism in Eukaryota, Metazoa, Tardigrada, Eutardigrada, Parachela, Macrobiotidae. The record is from RefSeq and is a predicted model, not a curated record.